GCUCCCGUAGUUCAAUGGACAGAGCGUCGGUUUCCGGAACCGAAGAUCUGGGUUCGACUCCCAGCGGGAGUACCA
RNAcentral lists this transfer RNA (75 nucleotides) under Opitutales bacterium. Its description in RNAcentral is "tRNA-Arg". It matches the Rfam family "tRNA". Rfam says of the family: Transfer RNA (tRNA) molecules are approximately 80 nucleotides in length. Their secondary structure includes four short double-helical elements and three loops (D, anti-codon, and T loops). Further hydrogen bonds mediate the characteristic L-shaped molecular structure. tRNAs have two regions of fundamental functional importance: the anti-codon, which is responsible for specific mRNA codon recognition, and the 3' end, to which the tRNAs corresponding amino acid is attached (by aminoacyl-tRNA synthetases). tRNAs cope with the degeneracy of the genetic code in two manners: having more than one tRNA (with a specific anti-codon) for a particular amino acid; and 'wobble' base-pairing, i.e. permitting non-standard base-pairing at the 3rd anti-codon position. The record is from RNAcentral. Lineage: Bacteria; Pseudomonadati; Verrucomicrobiota; Opitutia; Opitutales.